AGAGCGAACGCUGGCGGCAGGCUUAACACAUGCAAGUCGAGCGGAUGUAGCAAUACAUCAGCGGCAGACGGGUGAGUAACACGUGGGAACGUACCUUUUGGUUCGGAACAACACAGGGAAACUUGUGCUAAUACCGGAUAAGCCCUUACGGGGAAAGAUUUAUCGCCGAAAGAUCGGCCCGCGUCUGAUUAGCUAGUUGGUGAGGUAAUGGCUCACCAAGGCGACGAUCAGUAGCUGGUCUGAGAGGAUGAUCAGCCACAUUGGGACUGAGACACGGCCCAAACUCCUACGGGAGGCAGCAGUGGGGAAUAUUGGACAAUGGGCGCAAGCCUGAUCCAGCCAUGCCGCGUGAGUGAUGAAGGCCCUAGGGUUGUAAAGCUCUUUGUGCGGGAAGAUAAUGACGGUACCGCAAGAAUAAGCCCGGCUAACUUCGUGCCAGCAGCCGC
This 446-nucleotide ribosomal RNA is filed under the name uncultured bacterium. RNAcentral's name for it is "SSU rRNA". It matches the Rfam family "Bacterial small subunit ribosomal RNA", at positions 26 to 518 of the family's 1533-position model. The record is from RNAcentral.